GAACGCGCCCAUGAUAAUGAUAUAUUCUCAUAUUUUAUCUUACAAAAACAAAGAUAAAAGUAAGACCCAACUAAUUAAAGUUGCUUUAGAUAUUCAAAAAGAGAUUUUCGUCCAUGAAUUUUGAUUGAUGUUCCUAUUUUUUAUAUCAUAGUGUUGUUUUUUGCCAACUUUCUUUUACUUUUGUUUUCUCUUUUCUUCUAACCUUGCAA
RNAcentral lists this unclassified non-coding RNA (209 nucleotides) under Hevea brasiliensis (rubber tree). Lineage: Eukaryota; Viridiplantae; Streptophyta; Magnoliopsida; Malpighiales; Euphorbiaceae. The record is from RNAcentral.